UAAAGAAAAAAUUAACAACCCUUUUUGUAUUUCCAAAUGUUCUACAAUUAAUAUUCGACUCCUUAGCUUAAGCGCGUUCCAAAUGAGACGCUAUAUUAGUGCGAUGGUAGCUAGCAAGGUGUAAAUUUGGCCUUGCGAUCAUGGCGCGCGUUCUCAAAGGUCAGGGAACUUCUCCAUUUUUCGUCAGGGAAAACCUGGAAAAGUCAGGGAAAAUCAUUUCCAAAUUUUUGUGGCAACCCUGUAUAACUCUUAAAUGAUCCUCACAUUUAGUUGAUAACAACUGUGUUUCCUUAUCAUUAAAACAGGAUUUGGCAAUGGCCCCCAGAACACAAACUUUUAACGUUGCAGUAAAUAUUAAUUAAAAGUUAGCCAUACUAUAGCAUUGAAGUAUUUUCAGUUCAAAUAGUGUGUUUUUACCAUUUAUAACUUAUAUGUAUAUGUAACUCAUUUCUUGUUAAUUGUUACAAUGGGAUUAUUCGUAAGCAAUUUGUCUUAUUUUUCCUAUGAGAACAAUAAAUUCAGCAGUAAUUUUUAGAAAGGCUCCAAUCUGGAGGCAUGUGUCUUUUGUUUCAUUGAUACGUAUUCAUUCGUUUAUUUUCUGCUUGUUUUGAACAGAUUGAUUUGGACUUCAGAUUGUUAUAUCCUGAUAAAGCUAAUACAUUAUUCAGCAAUUGGCCAAACAUUGAAGACAAAAUUUUAGCCUUAGGCCGAUCACGAGUACAGCGGCCUUUAUUUGCUUCCGUUUUGAAGUCUUUGAAAAUUGACUUAACGCUCACCGAUCCACUGAGUAAAACACUGAAUGCAUUCUUCUUAUUCUCUGCAUUACUCCCUCCUGUAACUGUAAAGUGGGGAUGGAAACCAUCUAGAAUUGAAACAAAGAGGGGUUUCUUCAUUUAUGUCCGACACUUGAAGAAACAAAAGAAAUUUUUGAUGAGCGAAAUAAGAAACUAGAGUCCCAAGGGUACAGCAACCAGCCUGCCCUGUUGAUAGUAGGAGAGGCUCCCGAUUAUGCAGCUUACUUGAGAGUCAACAAGACGUACUAUGCUUGCGACUCCAUUUUGAAAGCAGUUGACCUCUGUUACAAAAUCUUCAAGACUUUGAAGGCCCCUUUUCCCCCGGACUGUCUCUUUCAUUGGCUUUUCUUAGAUGAAUAUGUCUACAAGUUUGAUUGCAAGCAUCAUCUAAAGUAUGCCACGCUUGGCAAUUUUAAAAAUGAUCUUGAUGCAUAGUCCCUCUUCAUAUUCUUUUCUCAUUUAAUUGGUUUUUCAGAAAUGAAUACAUAUAGACGUAUAUUUUUUACGAUCUUUGACUUGUGUUUUUAGGUGAAAUUAAGUUUGAUUGCAACCAUACUCUAAAGUAUGCCAUGCUUGGAAAUUUUGUAAAUUAUCUCCAUGCAGACGCGUUGUUUCUGUUUUCCCCCUAUGCAUAUAUUUCUUAUUUAAUUGGCUUUGCUUUGAUGAGGAAGUUUGAUCACAAUCAUAAUCUAAAGUAAACAUUGCUAGAAAAUUUUGUGAAUGAAGUGAAUAGUCUCCUUUUUCCCCUCGGCAUCUUGUUUAUCCUCGCGGUUACAUCUCCUUUUUUUUGUUUUGAUAAGAUGAGUGUGUAAUUGUUUGAAACUUCCUUCUUGU
This 1628-nucleotide long non-coding RNA is filed under the name Bemisia tabaci. Its description in RNAcentral is "lncRNA ENSSSA2NGG011488". The record is from RNAcentral. Lineage: Eukaryota; Metazoa; Arthropoda; Insecta; Hemiptera; Aleyrodidae.